RNAcentral lists this signal recognition particle RNA (263 nucleotides) under human gut metagenome. RNAcentral describes it as "Bacterial large signal recognition particle RNA". It matches the Rfam family "Bacterial large signal recognition particle RNA". From Rfam's summary of the family: The signal recognition particle (SRP) is a universally conserved ribonucleoprotein involved in the co-translational targeting of proteins to membranes. Archaeal SRP consists of a 7S RNA and homologues of the eukaryotic SRP19 and SRP54 proteins. The record is from RNAcentral.
CGCGCCAGGCGGGGCAGUAGCGGUGCCCUAAACCCGAAAUCCGCUGUAGCGGGGCUGGAAUCCUUCUUUCGGCUAAGUGGCAAUGGCACGCGUUGCAACUGGGAAUGUUGACGGUCGGGUCCUGUGCAAUGUCAUCCUGUGAAUCAUGUCAGGCCUUGACGGGAGCAGCAUUAAGCAGAACGUGGCAUGUGCCGCAGGGAAACCGGGCCGGAGUUCUCCUUUUACAAUAGCACCGUUGUAGCUUUUCCAACGGAAGGUGCGCG